This 1539-nucleotide ribosomal RNA is filed under the name Leucandra spinifera. RNAcentral describes it as "eukaryotic LSU rRNA". It matches the Rfam family "Eukaryotic large subunit ribosomal RNA", at positions 472 to 1820 of the family's 3401-position model. The record is from RNAcentral. Lineage: Eukaryota; Metazoa; Porifera; Calcarea; Leucosolenida; Grantiidae.
CUGUGGUGCACUCCAUGGGCAUGCGCGUCAGCGUCGGUUCUCGGCGAGUGAUGAGGUGCCGGGGGAAGGUGGCUCGCCUCUUCGGAGGGGAGUGUUAUAGACCCUGGUGCUGGGCUCGCUGUGGGACCGAGGAGAGAGAUGAUCGCUGCGGCACCUGCCUCUCGGGGCUAGCCAGCUGUUGUCAGAUGUGUGUCAAGCGUUGAGGACUGCACGCAGUGCUUGGUGUCUUGGCGUGGUCUGGUGGCGGUGUGGGCAUAGAGGUGCCUAGGACGCUGGCGUCCAAAUGGCCGUGCGCGACCCGUCUUGAAACACGGACCAAGGAGUCUAACAUGUGCGCGAGUCUUAGGGUGUGCAAGCCCUCGGGCGCAAUGAAAGUGAAAGUUCAGCGUUGGUUGAGCUUAGGUGAGAGCCGUCGCUGGCCUGACGCCACGGCGGCGCAUCAUCGGCCGGUCCAUCCUGCUCUCAGGAGGAUCCGAGCAAGAGCGUAUUUGUUGGGACCCGAAAGAUGGUGAACUAUGCCUGAAUAGGGUGAAGCCAGAGGAAACUCUGGUGGAGGCUCGUAGGGAUUCUAACGUGCAAAUUGAUCUCAAAAUUUGGGUAUAGGGGCGAAAGACUAAUCGAACCAUCUAGUAGCUGGUUCCCUCCGAAGUUUCCCUCAGGAUAGCUGGAACUCGUCAACACAGUUUUAUCAGGUAAAGCGAAUGAUUAGAGGUCUUGGGGAUGAAACAUCCUCAACCUAUUCUCAAACUUUAAAUCGGUAAGAAGCGUGACUUGCUUAAUUGAAGCCGCGCAAUCAAUGUGAGUUCCAAGUGGGCCAUUUUUGGUAAGCAGAACUGGCGAUGCGGGAUGAACCGAACGCUCGGUUAAGGUGCCAAAGUUGACGCUCAUCAGACCCCAGAAAAGGUGUUGGUUGAUAUAGACAGCAGGACGGUGGCCAUGGAAGUCGGAAUCCGCUAAGGAGUGUGUAACAACUCACCUGCCGAAUCAACUAGCCCUGAAAAUGGAUGGCGCUCAAGCGUCACACCUAUACCGGGCCGUCGUCGUAAAUGCCAGGCGACGACGAGUAGGAGGGCGCGGGGGUCGUGAUGCAGCCCUUGGCGUGAGCCUGGGUCAAACGGCCUCUGGUGCAGAUCUUGGUGGUAGUAGCAAAUAUUCAAAUGAGAGCUUUGAAGACCGAAGUGGAGAAAGGUUCCAUGUGAACAGCAGUUGGACAUGGGUUAGUCGAUCCUAAGAGAUAGGGGAACUCCGUGUCAACGUGCGCAAUCGGUCUCGUGCCGCCUUGCGCCACCUAUCGAAAGGGAAUCGGGUUAAUAUUCCCGAACCGGAAUGGAGAUAUUCUCUGGCUCUCGGGUCAGGAGCGGCAACGCUAGCGAACCGCGAGACGUCGGCGGGGGCUCCGGGAAGAGUUGUCUUUUCUUUUUAACGCAGUCGCCAUCCCUGGAAUCGGUUUGCCCGGAGAUAGGGUUGGCUGGCUCGGUAAAGCAGCACACUUCAUGUGCUGUCCGGUGCGCUCUCGACGGCCCUUGAAAAUCGCGGGGG